This 76-nucleotide transfer RNA is filed under the name Chryseobacterium indoltheticum. Its description in RNAcentral is "tRNA-Val". It matches the Rfam family "tRNA". From Rfam's summary of the family: Transfer RNA (tRNA) molecules are approximately 80 nucleotides in length. Lineage: Bacteria; Pseudomonadati; Bacteroidota; Flavobacteriia; Flavobacteriales; Weeksellaceae. The record is from RNAcentral.
CGCGGGGUAGAGCAGAGGUUAGCUUGUCACUUUGACUUGGUGAAGGUCGUUGGUUCGAAUCCAGCCCCCGCUACAA